Long non-coding RNA from Sinocyclocheilus anshuiensis, 377 nucleotides. RefSeq lists it as uncharacterized. NCBI's taxonomy places the organism in Eukaryota, Metazoa, Chordata, Actinopteri, Cypriniformes, Cyprinidae. The transcript is spliced from 3 exons. The record is from RefSeq and is a predicted model, not a curated record.
CACUGACAGUCAGACUGAUUGAUUUUAUGAUUUCGCCAAGGUUGCUGCUUUUUGGGAUGAUUUUUGUGCUGUCACAACUGCUGGGUCUGUUCAAGUGUUCAUUUUUGCCUGAACUCUCACUGAAGACCUCUGCUUCAUAAUGUCCAGCGUGUUGAGUUGUGAUGUUUGUGAUGGUCAGAGAUCUAGUCUCAUUGUCCUCCUUCAGUCUGUCUCUGAAUCUCCCGCCUUCACCAUCAUAUGAACAGCUCUUACCAUCGAUCAUAGCUAUGAGAAUGCUAUUAAAGUACCACCGCACCAUGUCAGAUUCUUUGGUAACACCAGGGUUUAGAACCCUUGUAAGAUCAGGGUUCAGAGUGACUGAAUCUCCCUCCGUCACU